Molecule: long non-coding RNA, 1783 nt
Organism: Rosa rugosa (rugosa rose)
Lineage: Eukaryota; Viridiplantae; Streptophyta; Magnoliopsida; Rosales; Rosaceae
Exons: 2
Source: RefSeq, a predicted model, not a curated record
UGUCUUCUUUUCCAUUCUUAAACUCUCUUUCUUUCUUCUCCUGGCCGAACCCAAAGCAUUGGCAGAAUGCUCCACCCCUGCCAAUUGAUGAAGGACUUUGGAUUUGGAGAUGAAAUUUGACUUGUAGAUCGAAGUGCGCUUGGGUCUUCGACAAAACAGAACUUCUUAGUCUCUGAAGCUUGCAAUUGUCUUAAUUGCUCCUCUUUAUGGAAAAAUGGGUGCCGCUAAAGAGAAAGUACCUGGCCUUUCAUCGUGGUCUGGUAAUCAAAGCCUCUGGACUCCUGUAUUGUUUUUGCUUUGAUGCUUUUGAUCUGAAUGUAACCGCCUCCUCCUUUAUUUGUAAAGAAACAAAACUAGCUUAUAUUAAUUUUGCUUCUUUUGUCUUUUCUUCUUUGUGGUAUAAUUACACUCCAGCACACUUUGCAUAAAGGAAAGGCAUGAUUAAUUAAACAUUCAUCCUUGGAAGACCACAAACCAAGAUCUUUCUUAUUUUGCUUUCUUGUGUCGGCACCUCUUCACAACUUUUAAUUUUAUUUUCUUUUGUUGGCCACCCUCUGAUACCAAAUUCCUUCAAUCUUCAACACUAGCACCGCAAGAAAAGAUUUUUGUGCUUUGUGCUUUGUCAACUACUGGAAACAUUUUGUUCCCAGAAUACAAUGCUUUUGAUUCUUUGUGAGCAUGGAAACAUUGUAUCCCAUUCUUCGUGAACAUGACACUAUUGCAUUCGACUUGUAUGGCUUACUGCUGCAACUUCGAGGACUCUUUAUUGAUUUGUGCAGGUACAAAGCAAGAACAGCAGCUGCAGUCAAAGUUCCAGAGUUUCAAAUUGAAGGUGAGCCUCUGUUUAUUUAGACUCUGUUUAUUUUUUGUGUUAAUUUGAGUUGGUGCUUUUUGGGAAGAGAACAUGGAAUUUGGGACAGGCUAUUUGGCCUUGACGGUUGACAGAGAGCAGGGAUGGUUAUGGCCCUUUGUUGCCGUUUAGCACCAUCGUCAACCCCAGCAGCUUUGUAUUUACUUUGUUGCUGCUGAGAGCGAGUUCGGUGAAGCAUCAUACCUUUGAAAGCUUUGGGAGACGGAGCUCGAUGACAAUACGGCACCCUAAGGCACGCCGUGCUGGAGCUCGACGACAAUAUCGGCACCCUAAGGCACGCCGUGUCGGAGCUUGAAGAUGAUACGGCACCCUAAGGCACGCCGUGCAGGAGCUCGACGACAAUAUCGGCACCCUAAGGCACGCCGUGUCGGAGCUUGAAGAUGAUACGACACCCUAAGGCACGCCGUGCAGGAGCUCGACGACAAUAUCGGCACCCUAAGGCACGCCGUGUCGGAGCAUAUAUGAUAUACCGUAGGGUAUCUGUCGCUGGAGGCCUGCAUCAUUUGAGAAUAGCAAAGGAAAAGGUGCACAUCGGUGGUGAAAGUCUCACCCUCUUUUUCCUUGCUUUCUUCCUCUCCUCGGCUGCUAUCCUCUUCGCCUUCAUCCUCCCCCUUGUUUCUUUUCACGUAGCCCUUUUAUAGUGAACUGGUGAUGAGUUUGAUUUCUAAUCAACAUGGAGGGUUUUAGAGUCCCACUGAAAUUGAAACAGUUUGGGAACUUGUAUUCCAAGAACCCGUGAAGGCUGCACUCUUAUCUUUGUAAUUGCAUUGUUAUCUAGAUUCUUAAUUAACAAAGCUAGGAGUCAACACGGUUUUGUAAAAAGCCAAUAUGGGCCACCUUGCUGCCUCUAAGCUUUUCCUUUUGCUUAGAGUUUCAAUAGCUAUCAAUCUCGACCAUUCUCUGUUUUUUUUA